This 212-nucleotide ribosomal RNA is filed under the name uncultured bacterium. RNAcentral's name for it is "partial 16S ribosomal RNA". It matches the Rfam family "Bacterial small subunit ribosomal RNA", at positions 524 to 732 of the family's 1533-position model. The record is from RNAcentral.
UACGUAGGGUGCAAGCGUUGUCCGGAAUUAUUGGGCGUAAAGAGCUCGUAGGCGGUCUGUCGCGUCUGCUGUGAAAACUCAGGGCUUAACCCUGAGCUUGCAGUGGGUACGGGCAGACUAGAGUGCGGUAGGGGAGACUGGAAUUCCUGGUGUAGCGGUGAAAUGCGCAGAUAUCAGGAGGGAACACCCGGUGGCGAAAGGCGGGUCUCUGG